GGGGCGGUCGCCUCCCAAAGAGUAACGGAGGCGCCCAAAGGUUCCCUCAGUACGGUUGGAAAUCGUACGCAGAGUGCAAAGGCAUAAGGGAGCUUGACUGCAAGACCUACAAGUCGAGCAGGGACGAAAGUCGGGCUUAGUGAUCCGGUGGUUCUGUAUGGAAGGGCCAUCGCUCAACGGAUAAAAGGUACUCCGGGGAUAACAGGCUUAUCGCUCCCGAGCGUCCAUAGCGGCGGAGCGGUUUGG
This 246-nucleotide ribosomal RNA is filed under the name Isochrysis galbana. Its description in RNAcentral is "partial Bacterial large subunit ribosomal RNA". It matches the Rfam family "Bacterial large subunit ribosomal RNA", at positions 2276 to 2521 of the family's 2925-position model. The record is from RNAcentral. Lineage: Eukaryota; Haptophyta; Isochrysidales; Isochrysidaceae.